This 571-nucleotide long non-coding RNA is filed under the name Cercocebus atys (sooty mangabey). RNAcentral describes it as "lncRNA (ENSCATG00000045639.1)". The record is from RNAcentral. Lineage: Eukaryota; Metazoa; Chordata; Mammalia; Primates; Cercopithecidae.
ACGCUCUGGAGGAGAGGCUUGGUAAGCAGUGGGACCAGAUCCCCAAACUGCCAUCACAUGACAGCAUCCGCAUUUCACCAGGGACCCAUGAGCAGCUCAGGGAAGAGUGGAUCCCCAGUGACGGCUUCACUCAAGAGCCAGCAGAAGUCCUUUAGGCCUGCAUGACUCAGCCUCAGGGAAAGCUCAUCCUCAUCUUAAAAUCAAGGGGUAUGUAGAAGCAAGCUCCAGGCUCAGGGCCCUGGAGCCUAGGAUCCUGGGAAUGACGCUGCAGGAGUGAUCUUGGACAAGUCAAUGAUGUCCUCAGGACAGCAAUGCUUCCAAGCUAGAGGCAUUCAAGGAGUGGCCCGGAGAACAUGUCAUUCAGGGCCUGGAAGAUUUCCAUCAGCAUUCAGAUGUCAGGAGCAAUGGAGCACCAGUGGUGGAAGAACCUACCUCCCCUGGCUCCAUCAAAGGCCACAGGCCCAUGAGAAUCACCCAGCCUACUCUGAGCGGCACACUCGGAGACCACAGCCGCGCACAGGAAAGCGAGAGGAAGUGGAAACGUGCGAGCAGAGGGCUCAAAGCAACGGGC